ACAAAAAAUGAGCAAAUGACAAUUUGAAAGACCAAAGGAAUUAGCUUGCCUUCAAAUUAUUAGAUAAACAUCUGUGUUUCCAGCAAAGUUGUGGUUAAAGACUGAAAUGGAAAAAGAGAUUGACCUGAUGAAAAGGCAAGGGAGCUCUGCAAUGGUAAAUAAUCUCUGGAGAUCCUGAAAAGAACUGCCUUCAUUUUGCCCAUGGUGUUGCAGCACAUGGGAUUAGGGAAUGAAAUCUGCUGAAGUUUCCUGGUGUGGCCUGAUCCAUAUCUACAGCAAUGUGGUUGACUCUUAACUGCUUUCUGCAAGCUCCUCAAAGCCAAGGACAAUUAGCAUGGGCAGAAAAUACCAUCCUUUUCAACAAU
Molecule: long non-coding RNA, 365 nt
Organism: Stegostoma tigrinum
Lineage: Eukaryota; Metazoa; Chordata; Chondrichthyes; Orectolobiformes; Stegostomatidae
Exons: 3
Source: RefSeq, a predicted model, not a curated record